Molecule: non-coding RNA, 571 nt
Organism: Heterocephalus glaber (naked mole-rat)
Lineage: Eukaryota; Metazoa; Chordata; Mammalia; Rodentia; Bathyergidae
Source: RefSeq, a predicted model, not a curated record
CACAGCCAGGAGCUCACACUGGUAUCUUAGCACCCUCUGCUUCCAGGACAAAGGCCAACACAGCUGCCCAGCAACCUAGCACACACUGGACAGUUCAACUGAAUUAUGAGAAGAGAGACAAGGGAGACAGGCGGAAGAAGCAGAAAGAUCCACACAGGACUGGGGAGGCCAGCCUUCAUUCGCCAGGCAAUGUACUCAGGCAGGGUCAGGGAGUCCUUGGUCUUGAGUGACAAUCAAUCUUCUGAGCCAGGCCCUUCCUAACACACACAGAAAAUGCAGGAGUCAGGCCUGGUUUGAAGAGUCCCACUACAAAGUCGAGGCUACUCUUAAACUAUGUAGCAGUUUGACCUUGAACUCACAGGAUCCUCCUGCUUCAGCCUCCUGAGUGUUGGAAUUACAGGCCUUCAUUUCUUUUUGUUCUAAAAAAAUAAAGAUGACCCUCAGGCUUCUUGGCUCCACAAAACAGAAGCAGCAGUGCACCACAAUGGGGGAAUUACAGUAUGCUGCCAGGGGGAGGGCCUGCCUCUUUCUCUGGAUUGAAGGAGCUCUGCUUCUCUGUGAACUCACCUUG